This 253-nucleotide long non-coding RNA is filed under the name Struthio camelus australis. RNAcentral's name for it is "lncRNA (ENSSCUG00000002597.1)". Lineage: Eukaryota; Metazoa; Chordata; Aves; Struthioniformes; Struthionidae. The record is from RNAcentral.
CUUCAGCUGUGACACAAGAUUAAAGAACUAAAGAUUGCAACAAGUCUGGUCUUAUUCUGUUCACAGUACUGGGAUAUUUAAGCAACUUCAGUUCGUGUUUUAAACAAUUAGAAAAUUCACAGCUCAUCCAGACUGAAGUUUCUGAAUUCUGUAAUAAAGGCACAUAUCUCAGUGCAAGUCACCACUCCAACUUCCUGAAAGCACAAAGAGACCUUCCCUCCUCCAGCAAAUAUUGCCAUACUUCUGUGCCCUC